ACGGGGGGUGCGAGCGUUGUCCGGAAUCUCUGGGCGUAAAGGGCGCGUAGGUGGCCUGGUAAGUCUGUGGUGAAAGCCCGGAGCUCAACUCCGGGUCUGCCGCGGAUACUGCGAGGCUUGAGUGCUGUAGAGGGGGGUAGAAUGCCGGGUGUAGCGGUGGAAUGCGUAGAGAUCCGGCAGAAGACCGGUGGCGAAAGCGGCCCCCUGGGCAGUAACUGACACUGAGGCGCGACAGCGUGGGGAGCAAACAGGA
This 253-nucleotide ribosomal RNA is filed under the name uncultured prokaryote. RNAcentral's name for it is "partial 16S ribosomal RNA". It matches the Rfam family "Bacterial small subunit ribosomal RNA", at positions 525 to 777 of the family's 1533-position model. The record is from RNAcentral.